Long non-coding RNA from Gambusia affinis (western mosquitofish), 549 nucleotides. RefSeq lists it as uncharacterized. NCBI's taxonomy places the organism in Eukaryota, Metazoa, Chordata, Actinopteri, Cyprinodontiformes, Poeciliidae. The record is from RefSeq and is a predicted model, not a curated record. The transcript has 3 exons.
AAGAGAGGCUGGCUGACUGCUGCGGAUGGAUGGAGGGACGAAGACAAACAGACAAACUUUGUGACCUGACUCGGGAACACGCUGUACCUGGCUUUCCCUGCCCUGGCAGUGAACCGGAGUGUGUCUGUCAUGAAGUCAACCUACUGAUAUCAACAUAGAAGGAUUAUGUAAUGUAGAGAAACCCGACCCCAUGUGGUUGGCAGACGCUCAUAGAGCUGCAUCCUGUGAGAGGAGAAAAGUGUUUCCUGUUCCAGGAGGUUUUAAACAUGUGACUCAUCAGCGCUGCAGAAACCCUCCUCCCCUCUGCUGCAACACCGAGUCAAUCCUCUCACACAAAAACAUGCUGACGUCUGACACUUUGUUUUGCUGCUUUACUUUGGUUGAACCUGACCUACAAGGUAUCUGACCAAAAUAUGCGCGGCUGCGUCUCCUUGAGACGGGCGAAAACUUUUCAAUCCAUUUGUGCUCAUCGCUAAAUUAUGUGGUAUCAGGAUAAUGUGUGCAAAAAAAAUAAAUCACAAUUUGUUUAUAUUUACGGUGCAACUAACA